Molecule: ribosomal RNA, 465 nt
Filed under: uncultured bacterium
Lineage: Bacteria
Description: partial 16S ribosomal RNA
Rfam family: Bacterial small subunit ribosomal RNA
Source: RNAcentral
GACGAACGCUGGCGGCGUGCUUAACACAUGCAAGUCGAACGGAAAGGCCCCUUUGGGGGUACUCGAGUGGCGAACGGGUGAGUAACACGUGAGUAACCUGCCCUUGACUUCGGGAUAACUUCAGGAAACUGGGGCUAAUACCGGAUAGGAAUCCUUGCUGCAUGGUGGGGGUUGGAAAGCUUCGGCGGUUUUGGAUGGACUCGCGGCUUAUCAGCUUGUUGGUGGGGUAGUGGCUUACCAAGGCUUUGACGGGUAGCCGGCCUGAGAGGGCGACCGGCCACAUUGGGACUGAGAUACGGCCCAGACUCCUACGGGAGGCAGCAGUGGGGAAUAUUGCACAAUGGGCGGAAGCCUGAUGCAGCAACGCCGCGUGCGGGAUGACGGCCUUCGGGUUGUAAACCGCUUUCAGCAGGGGCGAAGCUUGUGGUGACGGUACCUGCAGAAGAAACACCGGCUAACUACGUG